AUACGGAAGGUCCGGGCGUUAUCCGGAUUUAUUGGGUUUAAAGGGAGCGCAGGCGGAGAUGCAAGCGUGACGUCAAAUUUCGGGGCUCAACCCCGUCUCGCGUCGCGAACUGCGUCCCUUGGUUGCGGGAAGGGGAGGCGGAACUCGUGGUGUAGCGGGGAAAUGCAUAGAUAUCACGAAGAACUCCGAUCGCGAAGGCAGCCUUCCGGCCCGUCAACGACGCUCAUGCUCGAAGGUGCGGGUAUCAAACAGGAUUAGAUACCCUGGUAGUCCGCACAGUAAACGUUGGACACCCGCGGUUUGGCCUAUAUGGCUGAGCCGCCAAGCGAAAGCGUUAAGUGUCCCACCUGGGGAGUACGCCGGCAACGGUGAAACUUAAAGGAAUUGACGGGG
RNAcentral lists this ribosomal RNA (393 nucleotides) under uncultured bacterium. RNAcentral describes it as "partial 16S ribosomal RNA". It matches the Rfam family "Bacterial small subunit ribosomal RNA", at positions 523 to 918 of the family's 1533-position model. The record is from RNAcentral.